GUGUCAGCAGCCGCGGUAAUACGGAGGGUGCAAGCGUUAAUCGGAAUUACUGGGCGUAAAGCGCACGCAGGCGGUUUGUUAAGUCAGAUGUGAAAUCCCCGGGCUCAACCUGGGAACUGCAUCUGAUACUGGCAAGCUUGAGUCUCGUAGAGGGGGGUAGAAUUCCAGGUGUAGCGGUGAAAUGCGUAGAGAUCUGGAGGAAUACCGGUGGCGAAGGCGGCCCCCUGGACGAAGACUGACGCUCAGGCGCGAAAGCGUGGGGAGCAAACAGGAUUAGAAACCCCCGUAGUCC
This 292-nucleotide ribosomal RNA is filed under the name uncultured prokaryote. Its description in RNAcentral is "partial 16S ribosomal RNA". It matches the Rfam family "Bacterial small subunit ribosomal RNA", at positions 505 to 796 of the family's 1533-position model. The record is from RNAcentral.